This 493-nucleotide ribosomal RNA is filed under the name uncultured bacterium. Its description in RNAcentral is "partial 16S ribosomal RNA". It matches the Rfam family "Bacterial small subunit ribosomal RNA", at positions 29 to 507 of the family's 1533-position model. The record is from RNAcentral.
ACGAACGCUGGCGGCGUGCUUAACCCAUGCCAGUCGAACGGUGAAGCGCCUUCCUUUUUGGUGGGUGUGGAUGAGUGGCGAACGGGUGAGUAACACGUGAGUAACCUGCCCCCUUCUUCUGGAUAACCGCAUGAAAGUGUGGCUAAUACGGGAUAUUCUGGGUCUGUCGCAUGAUGGGUCUGGGAAAGAUAUUGUUUCGGUGGGGGAUGGGCUCGCGGCCUAUCAGCUUGUUGGUGGGGUGAUGGCCUACCAAGGCGGUGACGGGUAGCCGGCCUGAGAGGGUGGACGGACACGCUGGGACUGAGACACGGCCCAGACUCCUACGGGAGGAAGCAGGGAGGAAUAUUGCACGAUGGGAGCAAGCCUGAUGCAGCGACGCCGCGUGAGGGAUGGAGGCCUUCGGGUUGUGAACCUCUUUCGCCAGUGAAGCAGGCCUGCCUCGUUUGUGGAUGGGUUGACGGUAGCUGGAUAAGAAGCGCCGGCUAACUACGUG